This 377-nucleotide ribosomal RNA is filed under the name uncultured bacterium. RNAcentral describes it as "bacterial SSU rRNA". It matches the Rfam family "Bacterial small subunit ribosomal RNA", at positions 362 to 758 of the family's 1533-position model. The record is from RNAcentral.
UAUUGGACAAUGGGCGAAAGCCUGAUCCAGCCAUGCCGCGUGAGUGAUGAAGGCCCUAGGGUUGUAAAGCUCUUUUGUCCGGGAAGAUAAUGACUGUACCGGAAGAAUAAGCCCCGGCUAACUUCGUGCCAGCAGCCGCGGUAAUACGAAGGGGGCUAGCGUUGCUCGGAAUCACUGGGCGUAAAGGGUGCGUAGGUGGAUUUUUAAGUCAGAGGUGAAAUCCUGGAGCUCAACUCCAGAACUGCCUUUGAUACUGAGAGUCUUGAGUUCGGGAGAGGUGAGUGGAACUGCGAGUGUAGAGGUGAAAUUCGUAGAUAUUCGCAAGAACACCAGUGGCGAAGGCGGCUCACUGGCCCGAUACUACACUGAGCACGAAA